UAGGGAAUCUUCCACAAUGGACGAAAGUCUGAUGGAGCAACGCCGCGUGAACGAUGAAGGCCUUCGGGUCGUAAAGUUCUGUUGUAAGGGAAGAACAAGUGCCGCAGGCAAUGGCGGCACCUUGACGGUACCUUGCGAGAAAGCCACGGCUAACUACGUGCCAGCAGCCGCGGUAAUACGUAGGUGGCAAGCGUUGUCCGGAAUUAUUGGGCGUAAAGCGCGCGCAGGCGGCCUCUUAAGUCUGAUGUGAAAGCCCCCGGCUCAACCGGGGAGGGCCAUUGGAAACUGGGAGGCUUGAGUAUAGGAGAGAAGAGUGGAAUUCCACGUGUAGCGGUGAAAUGCGUAGAGAUGUGGAGGAACACCAGUGGCGAAGGCGACUCUUUGGCCUAUAACUGACGCUGAGGCGCGAAAGCGUGGGGAGCAAACAGGAUUAGAUACCCUGGUAGUCCACGCCGUAAACGAUGAGUGCUAGGUGUUGGAGGGUUUCCGCCCUUCAGUGCUGAAGCUAACGC
This 512-nucleotide ribosomal RNA is filed under the name uncultured bacterium. RNAcentral describes it as "bacterial SSU rRNA". It matches the Rfam family "Bacterial small subunit ribosomal RNA", at positions 355 to 858 of the family's 1533-position model. The record is from RNAcentral.